AGAGUUUGAUCAUGGCUCAGAAUGAACGCUGGCGGCGUGCCUAACACAUGCAAGUCGAACGAGAAAGAGCUUCGGCUCAAGUACAGUGGCGAACGGGUGAGUAAUACGUGGGAAUCAACCCUUUAGUGAAGGACAUCCUCGAGAAAUCGAGAGCAAUCCUGCAUAAGUCUCUUCGGGGAGAAAGAUGCCUUUAUGGUGUC
RNAcentral lists this ribosomal RNA (200 nucleotides) under uncultured bacterium. RNAcentral's name for it is "partial 16S ribosomal RNA". It matches the Rfam family "Bacterial small subunit ribosomal RNA", at positions 8 to 216 of the family's 1533-position model. The record is from RNAcentral.